Molecule: ribosomal RNA, 468 nt
Filed under: uncultured bacterium
Lineage: Bacteria
Description: partial 16S ribosomal RNA
Rfam family: Bacterial small subunit ribosomal RNA
Source: RNAcentral
GACGAACGCUGGCGGCGUGCUUAACACAUGCAAGUCGAACGGAAAGGCCCUGCUUUUGUGGGGUGCUCGAGUGGCGAACGGGUGAGUAACACGUGAGUAACCUGCCCUUGACUUUGGGAUAACUUCAGGAAACUGGGGCUAAUACCGGAUAGGAGCUCCUGCUGCAUGGUGGGGGUUGGAAAGUUUCGGCGGUUGGGGAUGGACUCGCGGCUUAUCAGCUUGUUGGUGAGGUAGUGGCUUACCAAGGCUUUGACGGGUAGCCGGCCUGAGAGGGUGACCGGCCACAUUGGGACUGAGAUACGGCCCAGACUGCUACGGGAGGCAGCAGUGGGGAAUAUUGCACAAUGGGCGGAAGCCUGAUGCAGCAACGCCGCGUGCGGGAUGACGGCCUUCGGGUUGUAAACCGCUUUCGCCUGUGACGAAGCGUGAGUGACGGUAAUGGGUAAAGAAGCACCGGCUAACUACGUG